AGGGAUUGUNAUCUUGUAUUGGAAUGAUGGGAAUUUAAACCCCUUCCAGAGUAUCAAUUGGAGGGCAAGUCUGGUGCCAGCAGCCGCGGUAAUUCCAGCUCCAAUAGCGUAUAUUAAACUUGUUGCAGUUAAAAAGCUCGUAGUUGAAUUUCUGCUGUUUCGUUGACUGCGUUUGGCGUUUGUCAUCGUUGCGGCUUGGUUGGGUUCCGAUUAUUCGUUUCCCGGCGUUUACUUUGAGAAAAUUAGAGUGCUUGAAGCAGGCUUUUGCCUUGAAUACUUUAGCAUGGAAUAACGGAGUAGGACUUUGGUUCUAUUUUGUUGGUUUUAGGAGCCAGAGUAAUGGUUAAUAGGAACAGUUGGGGGCAUUCGUAUUUGACUGUCAGAGGUGAACAUUCUUAGAACACAUACGUAUUAGGUAUAUAAGAUUAUCCUUUCUUUUGAUAUAAAGGAUUUUAACUACCAAUCUAACGGUAUCCAUUUCAUUCGUUACAAUAGCUUCCAUUUGAGUCUCUGCACCUAUCUCUUUUUUAUUCUCAUUUUCCAUUUUUUUUUUAAAAUUUGGCUCAGGAUUGCCCAUUUUUAAUUUCCAGGGUUUCUCUGAAUUUGGAAGUUAACACUUUACAGGUUUCCAUACCAAGGCUCAAUCCAAUCCAGUCCGUACCNCC
RNAcentral lists this ribosomal RNA (665 nucleotides) under Theileria equi. RNAcentral describes it as "bacterial SSU rRNA". It matches the Rfam family "Eukaryotic small subunit ribosomal RNA", at positions 487 to 944 of the family's 1831-position model. The record is from RNAcentral. Lineage: Eukaryota; Apicomplexa; Aconoidasida; Piroplasmida; Theileriidae.